AACUAUCGCCGUGUGAAAUUUGUGUUCAAUGCAAAAAACCCGCCGAAAGGUAUGAUACAGGUUAGCAUUACAAUGCACUCGGUUUGGUUUGUGUCGACAUCAAUAACGUCUGUCUGGAGGAUUUACACAAAUCAUUUGUUCGUCCAUAUCACCACGGGUCCUUUGUUUCUGGUGACAUCAUUAUUUACACUACACCGGAGACGAUGAAUUCUACGAUGCAGCGCUUGAGGCUUUUGGUUAUAUGGAAACUGAUGGGAUCCAAG
Long non-coding RNA from Adelges cooleyi (spruce gall adelgid), 263 nucleotides. RefSeq lists it as uncharacterized. The record is from RefSeq and is a predicted model, not a curated record. Lineage: Eukaryota; Metazoa; Arthropoda; Insecta; Hemiptera; Adelgidae. The transcript is spliced from 3 exons.